GUGGGGAAUAUUGGACAAUGGGGGGAACCCUGAUCCAGCCAUGCCGCGUGUGUGAAGAAGGCCUUUUGGUUGUAAAGCACUUUAAGCGAGGAGGAGGCUACCGAGAUUAAUACUCUUGGAUAGUGGACGUUACUCGCAGAAUAAGCACCGGCUAACUCUGUGCCAGCAGCCGCGGUAAUACAGAGGGUGCAAGCGUUAAUCGGAUUUACUGGGCGUAAAGCGCGCGUAGGUGGCCAAUUAAGUCAAAUGUGAAAUCCCCGAGCUUAACUUGGGAUUUGCAUUGGAUACUGGUUGGCUAGAGUAUGGGAGAGGAUGGUAGAAUUCCAGGUGUAGCGGUGAAAUGCGUAGAGAUCUGGAGGAAUACCGAUGGCGAAGGCAGCCAUCUGGCCUAAUACUGACACUGAGGUGCGAAAGCAUGGGGAGCAAACAGGAUUAGAUACCCUUGUAGUCC
This 451-nucleotide ribosomal RNA is filed under the name uncultured bacterium. RNAcentral describes it as "bacterial SSU rRNA". It matches the Rfam family "Bacterial small subunit ribosomal RNA", at positions 354 to 796 of the family's 1533-position model. The record is from RNAcentral.